RNAcentral lists this ribosomal RNA (465 nucleotides) under uncultured bacterium. Its description in RNAcentral is "bacterial SSU rRNA". It matches the Rfam family "Bacterial small subunit ribosomal RNA", at positions 917 to 1382 of the family's 1533-position model. The record is from RNAcentral.
GGACCCGCACAAGCGGUGGAUGAUGUGGUUUAAUUCGAUGCAACGCGAAAAACCUUACCCACCUUUGACAUGUACGGAAUUCCGCAGAGAUGUGGAAGUGCUCGAAAGAGAGCCGUAACACAGGUGCUGCAUGGCUGUCGUCAGCUCGUGUCGUGAGAUGUUGGGUUAAGUCCCGCAACGAGCGCAACCCUUGUCAUUAGUUGCUACAUUCAGUUGGGCACUCUAAUGAGACUGCCGGUGACAAACCGGAGGAAGGUGGGGAUGACGUCAAGUCCUCAUGGCCCUUAUAGGUGGGGCUACACACGUCAUACAAUGGCCGGUACAAAGGGCUGCCAACCCGCGAGGGGGAGCCAAUCCCAUAAAACCGGUCGUAGUCCGGAUCGCAGUCUGCAACUCGACUGCGUGAAGUCGGAAUCGCUAGUAAUCGUGGAUCAGAAUGUCACGGUGAAUACGUUCCCGGGUCUU